RNAcentral lists this ribosomal RNA (253 nucleotides) under uncultured bacterium. RNAcentral describes it as "partial 16S ribosomal RNA". It matches the Rfam family "Bacterial small subunit ribosomal RNA", at positions 524 to 776 of the family's 1533-position model. The record is from RNAcentral.
GACGUAGGGCGCGAGCGUUGUCCGGAUUUAUUGGGCGUAAAGAGCUCGUAGGCGGCUUGUUGCGUCAGCUGUGAAAACCCGCAGCUCAACUGUGGGCUUGCAGCUGAUACGGGCAGGCUUGAGUUCGGUAGGGGAGACUGGAAUUCCUGGUGUAGCGGUGAAAUGCGCAGAUAUCAGGAAGAACACCCGUGGCGAAGGCGGUUCUCUGGGACGGUACUGACGCUGAGACGCGAAAGCGUGGGGAGCGAACAGG